This 387-nucleotide long non-coding RNA is filed under the name Mytilus galloprovincialis (Mediterranean mussel). The record is from RNAcentral. Lineage: Eukaryota; Metazoa; Mollusca; Bivalvia; Mytilida; Mytilidae.
CGGCAAAAUUUCCUUAAAAUUAACAAUUCAGGGGCAGCAACCCAACAAGGGGUUGUCCGAUUCAUUUGAAAAUUUCAGGGUGGAUAUAUCUUGACCUGAUUAACAAUUUUACCCCCUGUCAGAUUUGCUCUAAAUGCUUUGGUUUCAGGGAUAUAAGGCAAAAUCUACAUUCCCCCUAUGUUAUAUUUUUAGCAAUGGCGGCCAUCUUGGUUAGUUGGCUUGGUCAGUGGACACAUUUUUUAAACUAAAUACCCUAAUGAUGAUUAUGGCGAAGUUUGGUUAAAUCUGGCCCAGUAGUUUCAGAGGAGAAAAAGUUAAAAGUUAACAGACGACAGACGACGCCGAACGACGGACGCCAAGUGAUGAGAAAAACUAACUUGAUCUUUC